This 74-nucleotide transfer RNA is filed under the name archaeon. RNAcentral describes it as "tRNA-Phe". It matches the Rfam family "tRNA". Rfam says of the family: Transfer RNA (tRNA) molecules are approximately 80 nucleotides in length. Their secondary structure includes four short double-helical elements and three loops (D, anti-codon, and T loops). RNAcentral also lists the same sequence under 3 other names. The record is from RNAcentral.
GGGCUGGUAGCUCAGACUGGGAGAGCGCUCGGCUGAAGACCGAGUUGUCGUCGGUUCAAAUCCGACCCAGCCCA